GUAGGUGAACCUGCGGAAGGAUCAUUAAUGAAAUGUGAACAUCGUGAAAGGGUUGUUGCUGGCCUCUCUCUAUAGAGAGGUAUGUGCACGCCUUGGAUCGUUCAUCCUCCCUUUCUUACACCUGUGCACAACCUGUAGCUUGGGAUGAUCACGGGGUGUGCUGCUUUUGUGGCCGCCUCGAAUGCCCUCGCUAUGAACGCUUUUUAUAUACACCUUUAUAAAGUCUUGUAGAAUGUUGAUAAGCGUGUAACAGCGCAAAAAUAAUACAACUUUCAGCAACGGAUCUCUUGGCUCUC
This 296-nucleotide unclassified non-coding RNA is filed under the name rhizosphere metagenome. Its description in RNAcentral is "partial ribosomal RNA internal transcribed spacer region". The record is from RNAcentral.